CUGACAUCGGCCGUCCGUGGAAUCAACGGAAGGAUUUUGAACGUUGGAGAAUGCGUAACGCUGAUUGGCUAUUGAGCUCCGGGGGUCGAUCGUAGAAGGGGACGCCGGGUCGCAACGAGCCUCACAGUUCGACUGUGCCACCACUUCGACUGUGAACGCGAUAGGAAUUGGAUCGUCUAUUCUACAAAGCUCCUUUAUCUUUUGCAACAAUUACAUUCGAAUGUCUUUUCAAGCGCUAACGACAUAAUCGACGUUUGGUAAUAUCCAUCAACAGAGGGGACAAUUCGGAUGCACAAUCUAUGCCUAUGACUGUGCAGUAGGGAGGGCAUACUCUUCUCCACCACUUGUCUGGCGCCACUAUUGUCUCCGAAGGCCAAGCUGUAAAUCUUCGUUGCUUAUACCGUUUUCUUGAAACGACGUUGCGACACAAUCUUCCAGUGUGAGUGGUAGCUUAUUCGAUUGCAACAGCCUAAUGUAACAACAUCCCUGUAAGUGAAAACUUAUAAGCGAC
This is a long non-coding RNA of Bombus terrestris (buff-tailed bumblebee), 511 nucleotides long. RefSeq lists it as uncharacterized. The record is from RefSeq and is a predicted model, not a curated record. The transcript is spliced from 4 exons. NCBI's taxonomy places the organism in Eukaryota, Metazoa, Arthropoda, Insecta, Hymenoptera, Apidae.